This 425-nucleotide ribosomal RNA is filed under the name uncultured bacterium. Its description in RNAcentral is "partial 16S ribosomal RNA". It matches the Rfam family "Bacterial small subunit ribosomal RNA", at positions 354 to 796 of the family's 1533-position model. The record is from RNAcentral.
GUGGGGAAUCUUGCGCAAUGGGCGAAAGCCUGACGCAGCCAUGCCGCGUGAAUGAUGAAGGUCUUAGGAUUGUAAAAUUCUUUCACCGGGGACGAUAAUGACGGUACCCGGAGAAGAAGCUCCGGCUAACUUCGUGCCAGCAGCCGCGGUAAUACGAAGGGGGCUAGCGUUGCUCGGAAUUACUGGGCGUAAAGGGCGCGUAGGCGGACAGCUUAGUCAGAGGUGAAAGCCCAGGGCUCAACCUUGGAAUUGCCUUUGAUACUGGCUGUCUUGAGUUUGGGAGAGGUGAGUGGAACUCCGAGUGUAGAGGUGAAAUUCGUAGAUAUUCGGAGGAACACCAGUGGCGAAGGCGGCUCACUGGCUCGAUACUGACGCUGAGGUGCGAAAGCGUGGGGAGCAAACAGGAUUAGAUACCCCAGUAGUCC